GAGGAAUAUUGGUCAAUGGGCGGAAGCCUGAACCAGCCAUGCCGCGUGCGGGAAGGAGGCCCUAUGGGCUGUGAACCGCUUUUGCCUGGGGGCAAUAAGGGCGUCGCGCACGUCCGAUGAGAGUACCCGGCGAAUAAGCAUCGGCUAACUCCGUGCCAGCAGCCGCGGUAAUACGGGGGAUGCGAGCGUUAUCCGGAUUCAUUGGGUUUAAAGGGUGCGUAGGCUGUGCGUCAAGUCGGGGGUGAAAUUCCGGUGCUCAACACCGGGGCUGCCCUUGAUAAUGUCGCGCUGGAGUGCGGAUGCCGCCGGGGGAAUGAGUGGUGUAGCGGUGAAAUGCUUAGAUAUCACUCAGAACACCGAUUGCGAAGGCAUCUGGCGAAUCCGUAACUGACGCUGAGGCACGAAAGCGUGGGGAUAGAAC
Molecule: ribosomal RNA, 421 nt
Filed under: uncultured bacterium
Lineage: Bacteria
Description: bacterial SSU rRNA
Rfam family: Bacterial small subunit ribosomal RNA
Source: RNAcentral